Molecule: ribosomal RNA, 868 nt
Filed under: uncultured archaeon
Lineage: Archaea
Description: bacterial SSU rRNA
Rfam family: Archaeal small subunit ribosomal RNA
Source: RNAcentral
CGGUUGAUCCUCCCGGAGAUCACUGCUAUUGGAAUUCGGCUAAGGCAUGCGAGUCGAGAGGGUUCGGCCCUCGGCGGACGGCUCAGUAACCCGCAGACAAUCUGCCCUUAGGCGGGGUAUAAUCUCGAGAAAUUGAGAAUAAUACCCCAUAGUUCUAGAUUGCUGGAAUGCAUCUAGAACAAAAGCUCUGGCGCCUAAGGAUGAGUCUGCGGCCCAUCAGGUUGUAGUGAGUGUAACGGACUCACUAGCCUACGACGGGUACGGGUCCUGGAAGGGAGUGCCCGGAGAUGGACUCUGAGACACGAGUCCAGGCCCUACGGGGCGCAGCAGCCACGAAAACUUCGCAAUGCGGGAAACCGCGACGAGGGAAUUCCAAGUGCUAAUACUUUGUAUUAGCUGUUUCCUUGCCUAAAAAGCAGGAAGAGUAAGGGCUGGGUAAGACUGGUGCCAGCCGCCGCGGUAAUACCAGCAGCCCGAGUGGUGAUCGCUUUUAUUGGGCCUAAAGCGUCCGUAGCCGGUCUAGUAAAUCCUUGGGUAAAUCGGACAGCUUAACUGUCCGAAUUCUGAGGAGACUGCUAGACUUGGGACCGGGUGAGGUCAGAGGUACUCUUGGGGUAGGGGUGAAAUCCUGUAAUCCUAAGAGGACCACCAGUGGCGAAGGCGUCUGACUUAAACGGGUCCAACGGUAAGGGACGAAGCCCUGGGUCACGAACCGGAUUAGGUACCCGGGCAGUCCAGGGUGUAAACGCUGCGGGCUUGGUGUUGGGGGUCCUACGAGGGCACCCAGUGCCGGAGAGAAGUUGUUAAGCCCGCCGCCUGGGGAGUACGGUCGCAAGAUUGAAACUUAAAGGAAUUGGCGGGGGAGCAC